UGCGCAGGCGGAUUAAUAAGUCGGGGGUUAAAUCCAUGUGCUUAACACAUGCACGGCUUCCGAUACUGUUGAUCUAGAGUCUCGAAGAGGAAGGUGGAAUUUCCGGUGUAACGGUGGAAUGUGUAGAUAUCGGAAAGAACACCAGUGGCGAAGGCAGCCUUCUGGUCGAGUACUGACGCUUAUGCACGAAAGCGUGGGGGAGCAAACA
Molecule: ribosomal RNA, 208 nt
Filed under: uncultured Chlorobaculum sp.
Lineage: Bacteria; Pseudomonadati; Chlorobiota; Chlorobiia; Chlorobiales; Chlorobiaceae
Description: partial 16S ribosomal RNA
Rfam family: Bacterial small subunit ribosomal RNA
Source: RNAcentral